This is a long non-coding RNA of Nematolebias whitei (Rio pearlfish), 306 nucleotides long. RefSeq lists it as uncharacterized. The transcript has 3 exons. The record is from RefSeq and is a predicted model, not a curated record. NCBI's taxonomy places the organism in Eukaryota, Metazoa, Chordata, Actinopteri, Cyprinodontiformes, Rivulidae.
AAACUAACAGAAGUUGUGCAUGCUGCAGGUUUUUUUGUUUUAAUCGUUGCUCCAUUUGACAUCACUUUAGAUUCUGACUGAACGAGGGAAGUAAAGGAAACUUUAUUCCCAAGGAAAUUAUGAGGAACGCAGAGCUGUGAAUUUUAAUCCAGCUGACAACCGAUAAGGCAGAAAUGGAAAACAAGGCCAUGUAUCUGAGCACACAUGAAGAAAGGGAGAACACGUCCAUGUAUGAGGAAGCCUACGAUGGACACAACCUGUCCAAACUUAACCUUUGUGACCAAGUGUCUGGAAAGCGCCGCAGGA